GGACGGGUGAGUAAUGCCUAGGAAAUUGCCCUGAUGUGGGGGAUAACCAUUGGAAACGAUGGCUAAUACCGCAUGAUGCCUACGGGCCAAAGAGGGGGACCUUCGGGCCUCUCGCGUCAGGAUAUGCCUAGGUGGGAUUAGCUAGUUGGUGAGGUAAGGGCUCACCAAGGCGACGAUCCCUAGCUGGUCUGAGAGGAUGAUCAGCCACACUGGAACUGAGACACGGUCCAGACUCCUACGGGAGGCAGCAGUGGGGAAUAUUGCACAAUGGGCGCAAGCCUGAUGCAGCCAUGCCGCGUGUGUGAAGAAGGCCUUCGGGUUGUAAA
RNAcentral lists this ribosomal RNA (326 nucleotides) under Vibrio parahaemolyticus. RNAcentral's name for it is "bacterial SSU rRNA". It matches the Rfam family "Bacterial small subunit ribosomal RNA", at positions 100 to 429 of the family's 1533-position model. The record is from RNAcentral. Lineage: Bacteria; Pseudomonadati; Pseudomonadota; Gammaproteobacteria; Vibrionales; Vibrionaceae.